GUGAAGAAGAUGGUUUCUCCAUAAGACGCUGCAGCCGUAGCAGACCAACUUGGACACAAAUGAGAUUUUCGCAUUUGUGAAAAAUGCGCAACGCAGGAUGUUUUACUGCUCUAUUGGCGCCGAUGGCCAUUUGGCUAGUGUAACCGGUUCCACAACCCAAUUAAAUUAUUUUGUACCCUGUUUGCCCCGUUCCGUGUAAUUACAUUGUAUUUUUAUUGAUUUCCCUUCACUUGCCCACCCUUGGAAGGCAACAUGCCCAUUCAUGUUAUUGAUCUUGCCUAAUGUUCAUUGCCUAUCGUUCAAGACGAGGGAAAGGAAGAUGAAAUGAUUGCGGAAAAUGUGCCCGAGAUUACUGAGCAAUCACAGCAAACAACCAGGGAUCGCAUCCAUCAGGAUACAACAAUGGUUCUUGCAGAUGACGUUGAAAGUCCAAAUAACAUUUUUUCUACUUGUUCUAUGGAGAGGCCAAUGAGCUGUCCAUUGCCCCACACAGUCUGGCCAGAGAACUAUCAAUAUCAGUACUGAAAACUUCAUUCCUAAGUUGGAUAAUAUCGUUUCAGAUUUCAGAGCGAAUCACAAAACGUACCUUUCAUUGGCGGCGCUUGUCGAAAUACAUUCUGAAUGGCACUGGUCGUUCAGGAACAAGGAAAAAACCAUUGAUGCCACCAAUUCGAAUCCAUCGACUAGAGCGGAUGGGUCACUCCUGAUUUAGACGGUCAGGGUAAAAGACGUUCAGUUGUUGUCGUAUCAUUACCACGGAGAUAUUGUAUCCCCCGAUCGGACUAGCACAAAAUUUCACUUCUUACGAACAUCUCGGAGAAUUGAUGACAGCCUUUGAUGGCACAAAACCUUGUACCGCCAUUACUGAGCGAUCAUGAAUAGAAUUGGAAAAGUCCUCGUCGUCACGAUUGCCGUAUAGAAUGAACAGGGGUUGCUGACAGUAGAACUCCUCUUCAGCAGUCAGUCUUGUGUCAGUCUGGUUUCAGUCGCUUUUCGUUCAUCUUCGAGUCUAUUUGCAGUCUUCGGCAGUAAGUCUCUUUUAAUCGGACUCGUCUUGUUAACUGUUAUCUCGGUCUUUGGCAAAAACGUUGUGCAACAAUAAACCCAUCAUCAUCACACACAACUAUUCCCCAUAUUCAAUAUUAAAAGUAAGAAAACCAUUCCCCAUCCUUACACAAGUAUGUUAUUCCAUGAGAACCAUGCCGCGAGUGGUAACCAAUGGAUCCGUUUCCCUUCACGGAUGGGCAAGUAACUUCAAUCGCGCCACCUUUCCUCCGUACAUGUGAGUAUAAUAGUUCGAAGGCGCUCAGAUUUGAAUCCAUUCGCAGAAGUAUAAAGUCAUGUUUCCUUUUUUCAGAGUUUGAAUGUUGAAUUUCCGUUCAUGGAUUGUAUUUCAAUUUUCAGUGUCCCACACAGCACAUUUGGUUCCCCAGGACCUCCCAAGAUCCUCUUAAUUUCCUCCUCAGUCUUACUUGUGAGCUUCCUAAAUUCCUCUAAAAACCAUCUUUUUGGUUACCUGGUGGCUUCCUGAUAACCUCCUCAGUACCUUUCUCACCUUCCCGAGGAUCUCCCCACAACCUCCAAUAAUGAAACAAAUUAACCAUAUAUAUACCGGCUAGUAUUCCGUACCCAGUUCCGGUUUUCAGCAAUAAUUGUUAUGAUAAAAUGAAUACAUAUAAACAAAACACA
Daphnia magna is the source of this 1689-nucleotide long non-coding RNA. RefSeq lists it as uncharacterized. The record is from RefSeq and is a predicted model, not a curated record. The transcript is spliced from 3 exons. NCBI's taxonomy places the organism in Eukaryota, Metazoa, Arthropoda, Branchiopoda, Diplostraca, Daphniidae.